Non-coding RNA from Maylandia zebra (zebra mbuna), 659 nucleotides. The record is from RefSeq and is a predicted model, not a curated record. Lineage: Eukaryota; Metazoa; Chordata; Actinopteri; Cichliformes; Cichlidae.
GCAGACGGUCCAAAGGUGAUCUUUGUGUCUAUGAGACAGUCAGAAGAUGUGAAAACACUGAAAAUGGUCCAGCAGAAGGUGAUUUCACCAAUGUCACAUCCGUGAUUCAGCUCAAAGUCAUUAGGAAGACAAGAAAAUCAAGUCCUGCAGCUGAUGCAGCAGUUUAUUCUGAAGUCACAUCAGGAAGCUCUCUCAGUCAGUGAGGAGAGCUGUAGCAGCAAAGCCAAGAAGAAGCUUUUUAUGAAGCCACUCUUGCUCCUCUGCUGCCCAAAUAUCAGACAUGCUCAGCUUUAUGUACAGUUACAAUAUUCAAUCAUAAUAUAAUAUAGACAUAUUGCUCUCUUUUAGUAUCAAACAAAUGCAGGUGUAUUAGGUAUUAAUAUUCAUGCUCUUUAUAUUCAGUUUUUUCAUAAAGAUUUUGUAAUAAACCUUGAAUGUAUCUAACAUGUUCCAACAGCAGUGAGAACAAAGUGUGAAAUAUGUGAUCUUUAGUAUCUGACAGCACAACUUAAAGUCAGUGUUUGCAGUGUUUCACAAGUAAAUACUGAUAUGGGCAACAACAAAUACUUUAACUGUGUUUGUCCAAAGAUCUCGUACAUUAUAUAAAUAAGAAUUAUAUCAUAGGCAGUGAAUAUAUUUGAAUGUAUUUCAUGUAUAUU